AGGCUCGCUCUUAGUACGAGAGGACCGGAGUGAACGAACCAAUGGUGCGCCAGUUGUCAUGCCAAUGGCACAGCUGGGUAGCUAUGUUCGGUUGAGAUAAGCGCUGAAAGCAUCUAAGCGCGAAACUUGCUUCAAGAUUAAAUUUCCCUCAGUAGCAAUACUGAAUAAGACUCCAGAGAGAUGAUCUGGUUGAUAGGCUGCAGGUAUAAGUGUAGUAAUACAUUCAGCCGAGCAGUACUAAUAAGUCGAACGACUUUUCCUU
This 262-nucleotide ribosomal RNA is filed under the name Bacteroidota bacterium. Its description in RNAcentral is "partial 23S ribosomal RNA". It matches the Rfam family "Bacterial large subunit ribosomal RNA", at positions 2668 to 2925 of the family's 2925-position model. Lineage: Bacteria; Pseudomonadati; Bacteroidota. The record is from RNAcentral.